AACGAACGCUGGCGGCAGGCUUAACACAUGCAAGUCGAACGGUACAGCAAUGUACAGUGGCGCACGGGUGAGUAACGCGUGGGAAUAUGCCCUUUAGUACGGAAUAGCCUCGGGAAACUGGGAUUAAUACCGUAUACGCCCUUCGGGGGAAAGAUUUAUCGCUAAAGGAUUAGCCCGCGUGAGAUUAGGUAGUCGGUGGGGUAAUGGCCUACCAAGCCUACGAUCUCUAGCUGGUCUGAGAGGAUGAUCAGCCACACUGGAACUGAGACACGGUCCAGACUCCUACGGGAGGCAGCAGUGGGGAAUAUUGGGCAAUGGACGAAAGUCUGACCCAGCCAUGCCGCGUGAGUGAUGAAGGCCUUAGGGUUGUAAAGCUCUUUCGUUGGUGACGAUAAUGACGGUAACCAAAGAAGAAGCCCCGGCUAACUUCGUGCCAGCCGCCGCAGUAA
Molecule: ribosomal RNA, 449 nt
Filed under: uncultured bacterium
Lineage: Bacteria
Description: partial 16S ribosomal RNA
Rfam family: Bacterial small subunit ribosomal RNA
Source: RNAcentral